UCCCUGGAGGGCUAGUGGUUAGGCCACAGCACUCUCACCGCUGUAGCCUGGAUUCGAUUCCUGGCCAGGGAA
Pangasius djambal is the source of this 72-nucleotide non-coding RNA. The record is from the annotation of a GenBank genome assembly. Lineage: Eukaryota; Metazoa; Chordata; Actinopteri; Siluriformes; Pangasiidae.